Molecule: ribosomal RNA, 458 nt
Filed under: uncultured bacterium
Lineage: Bacteria
Description: partial 16S ribosomal RNA
Rfam family: Bacterial small subunit ribosomal RNA
Source: RNAcentral
CUACGGGACGCUGCAGUGAGGAAUAUUGCGCAAUGGAGGCAACUCUGACGCAGCAACGCCGCGUGAGUGAAGACGGCCCGAUGGGUUGUAAAGCCCUGUAAGUGGGGAAGAGAAGGGUGCUAUAUGCAACUUGGACGGUACCCGCAAAGUAAGCUCCGGCUAACUCCGUGCCAGCAGCCGCGGUAAUACGGGGGGAGCGAGCGUUGUCCGGAUUUAAUGGGCGUAAAGGGCAUGUAGGCGGGACAGUAAGUCAGUGGUGAAAUGUAACGGCUCAACCGUUAACCUGCCAUUGAAACUACUGUUCUUGAGUUCAGGAGAGGGAAACGGAAUUCCAGGUGUAGCGGUGGAAUGCAUAGAUAUCUGGAAGAACACCGAAUGCGAAGGCAGUUUCCUGGCCAUGGACUGACGCUGAUGUGCGAAAGCGUGGGUAGCAAACAGGAUUAGAUACCCGUGUAGUC